This 314-nucleotide long non-coding RNA is filed under the name Ananas comosus (pineapple). RNAcentral's name for it is "long non-coding RNA (ACOM_LNC038582)". Lineage: Eukaryota; Viridiplantae; Streptophyta; Magnoliopsida; Poales; Bromeliaceae. The record is from RNAcentral.
UCUAUCUCCCUCUCUCUCCCUUUCUCUUUCUCUUUCUCUCUCUCUCCAUCUCUCUCUUUCUCUCUCUGUCUCUCUCUCUCUCUAGCGCGCGUGCACGGGGGGCACGGGUCGCGCGCACGCCCCACCGGUUCUCUCUCUCUCUCUCCCCCUCUCUUCCUUUCUCUCUUUUUCUCUCUCCCUAUCUCUCUAUUUCUCUCUCUCUCUAAACCUCCUUAGAUCUCCAUUUUUCACUCCUCAGCUUCCUUUUUUUUGUGUGUAGCAGCGACAAUACUCUUUCUCUCUCUCCCUGUAACAUACCGAACUUCUACAACUUU